GACGCCAGGACCAACCAGUCCAGUCAGCCCUGGAUCGUCGGCUUUACCAGUCCAGAGGAAACAAACCCACUGCAUUGGGUCAUGAGAUGUGUCCCCACUCAGAACCCCCUCUGUGAACUGCACUCUACCUGACUCGCCUUCAUAGGCCUCAUCCCAUCCUUACCCAGCACCGUCUCUGCCCCUCCCCAACUGUGACUGACCUCAUCACCGAUUCCCCCCGACACUCUGAGCGUUGGCUCCAUGAUUUACCCUUCUGAGUGGAGGAGGACGGUGGAGUCCAUAUAACCUGUUGCUUCCAGAAGCCUGUGCCGCCAUGGCUGGCUAUCAAUCGGGACAUGGCAGCAAUGUUGGGGACGAGAGCCUACAGUGAAAUAUCUCAUAGAGAAACACCUCCCUCAAGGAGGCUCAGGGUGGGGGAUGUCGUGGGAGGCAAGCAGAGAUGCUGUCCGACGGCCCUUGGGCUUGUCAGAGACCCUGCUCAGUUUCCAUCAUCUGGCCCCCAUGAGGAAUCCAAAUAAAUUGUUUGGAAUAUGU
Ornithorhynchus anatinus (platypus) is the source of this 534-nucleotide long non-coding RNA. RefSeq lists it as uncharacterized. The transcript has 2 exons. NCBI's taxonomy places the organism in Eukaryota, Metazoa, Chordata, Mammalia, Monotremata, Ornithorhynchidae. The record is from RefSeq and is a predicted model, not a curated record.